AGUGAACGCUGGCGGUAGGCCUAACACAUGCAAGUCGAACGGCAGCACAGUAAGAGCUUGCUCUUACGGGUGGCGAGUGGCGGACGGGUGAGGAAUACAUCGGAAUCUACUUUUUCGUGGGGGAUAACGUAGGGAAAAUUACGCUAAUACCGCAUACGACCUACGGGUGAAAGCAGGGGAUCUUCGGACCUUGCGCGAUUGAAUGAGCCGAUGUCGGAUUAGCUAGUUGGCGGGGUAAAGGCCCACCAAGGCGACGAUCCGUAGCUGGUCUGAGAGGAUGAUCAGCCACACUGGAACUGAGACACGUUCCAGACUCCUACGGGAGGCAGCAGUGGGGAAUAUUGGACAAUGGGCGCAAUCCUGAUCCAGCCAUACCGCGUGGGUGAAGAAGGCCUUCGGGUUGUAAAGCCCUUUUGUUGGGAAAGAAAAGCAGCAGGUUAAUACCCCGCUGUUCUGACGGUACCCAAAGAAUAAGCACCGGCUAACUUCGUG
RNAcentral lists this ribosomal RNA (492 nucleotides) under uncultured bacterium. RNAcentral's name for it is "partial 16S ribosomal RNA". It matches the Rfam family "Bacterial small subunit ribosomal RNA", at positions 29 to 507 of the family's 1533-position model. The record is from RNAcentral.